Long non-coding RNA from Callithrix jacchus (white-tufted-ear marmoset), 4346 nucleotides. RefSeq lists it as uncharacterized. The record is from RefSeq and is a predicted model, not a curated record. NCBI's taxonomy places the organism in Eukaryota, Metazoa, Chordata, Mammalia, Primates, Cebidae.
ACUCUCCAGAAGGCACUGUUUUUACUUAAAACAAGAUCAAACCGGAAACCUUUUCACAUGUGAGUCCUAAAACUGUAAACCGGAACCCUUUCAUAUGUGAUUCCUAAAACUGUAAACCAAAACCUUUUCACAUGUGAGUCCUAAAACUAUGAACCUAAGAUUCUUCCAUGUGUAACAUCUAAAGUAUAAGCCUAUAUAAAGGCAUAACCUUCCUUUGUUAGAGGAGCUGAGUUUUUAACAGAUUACUGCCUGCUCUCCCGGCCAAAUAAGCUCCUCCCUCCUUUAUUCGGUGUUCAAGAAAUCUGUUUCCCGUGGCUGCUCCUGCUACAUUUUUGGUGCAUUGGCAGGGAAGGGAGUCUUGAAUAGCAGACGGCGGGAAAAAGUCUCUUACGUGGUCUGCCUAGCCCUGUGGAGCAUCCCUGCAGGGGGACUCCUGCUCCCUGGGGUGACGCAUCCUGAGAGCCCUCCGGGCAGGUAUUUACCCGGUGGAAAAGCCUCUCCAGAGCAGAGCAGGGAGGCCCUGCAGUGCAGAUCCACCCAGUGGCUGAACACCGAAGAGGAACAAGUAUUUGGGGAAGUCUGGACAACUGAAUUUGGUUUGGACUGCCACCGCGCAUCAGAUCACACAACGGACCAGCAUUUGUGGCGGAUUUAGUUCAGAAAACAGCAACGGCCUUGGGUAUCACCUGGAAACUGCACGCUGCAUACUGACCUCAGAGUUCCGGACACGUGGAAAAAAUAAACCAGAUCAUCAAAAACAGCUUAGGGAAAGUGUGUCAGAAAACAAGAUUAAAAUGACCAGGGGCAAGCAGUGGAGGAUACUGUGCGAGACAUGACCAAACUGGCACACGUGCCUGUACAGGAUGUCGUCAUCAUCAUCAUCGUCAUCGUCGUAUUUAUUGAGAACUUACUAUGUGCCCGGCACUGUUCUAACUGUGCUCUGUGCUCUUCUGUUCUUCUUGCAACAUUCCUGCAACAUAGGUUGUACUUGCGGAGCCGGGUCGAGACUUGUGAUUCCUUCUCCAGCGUUCUUUCUAGUCACCUUUCACUCAAAACAUUUUUUUAAAAAACAAAAAUGUGUAUACACACAAAAACACACACACUUUUUUCCAUAAGAGAAUCUGAGAAGCCUUACAAAAAUACAUAUAGUACAAGAGGAUAAACAGAUUAGGAGGCACAGACAAUGGAAAAAUGGUUAAGAGGGCAAAAGACAGGUGGGAAGGGUGUGGCUGAAAGGUGCUUUCUAAGGCCUGGCUCCCCAGGAAGCAGAGUUGGAGAAGGACAUCAGCAUGAAGCAGCUUAUUAGGAGAUGUUCUUGGGAUCUGUCUGUGAAAGUGAAGGAGUACCUACCUGCAGGACUGGGCAGAGGAGAAGCUGGGCCACAAUUCAGUUGUUGUAACAAGCUCCGGAAGUGGAUUUGUGGCGAGCAGCUCAGACCAUUCCACUGCUGCAUGGAUCUGUCUUUGAGCAUUGUUGGGGAAAGAGGUGUGACCUGGGGCCAGGGGUGCAUUUCUUUAGCCAAGGAUAGGGUUGCUGGGGAAAGCAAAUAAAUAUACAAGAUAACCGAUUAAGUUCCAAUUUCAAAUUAACUGACAAUGAAUAUUUUUAGUAUAUUUGGUGUAAGUGUGCCCCAAAUAUUGUUUGGAACAUUGGGACAUACUUAGACUAAAAUAAGUAUUUGUCAUUUAACUGAUAUUUAAAUUUAAUCUGGUGUCCUGUGUUUUAUCUGGCAACCCUAGCCCAGAGCAAGUCCAGGGGAGAACUGAUUUGUGAGGUGCCAGCAGGUAACCCUGCAUGCAGCUGGAGGAAUGGGCACCUGCGUCCUGAAGGAGGGUUCUACUUAGCACAGUAGGGACCUACCACACAUGCUUUGCAUUUGCAGUCAUAGUGUACAAGGUCAAUUCUCAGUUUCUUGACAGUCAAAGAGGGAUAGUGUUUAAACCUUAACAAUAGCCUAAGAUUUUCAAAUUAUCAGGCAAUUUUGCUUAGGAGAAAUGCAGGUCAUUUUGUCAUGAAAUUUCUCCUUGUGUUUUCUCAUAGUGGAUGUAAGGUACUGAGGUAGUAGACAGUUAUUCUUAAUACAAAGGGAGCAUGGCUGCAAUUUAAGGAGGACCCCAGGGUCCAGCAUGCUCUCCAGACACAGUCUGCUCUGCCUUGGACUUCCUGAGCCAUCUGCAUGUCCCUGUUCAUUGUACUCUAUAUCAAACCUGUGGAAAAAAUCAGAGGAUCUCUUUAUUUGACCAUUUUAAAAGUAGUUAUAUGUUUUCCUAGUUGGAAAUGUUUAAGAAUCAUUUAGUUCUUCGCUCUAAUUUUAUGUCAUCAUCAUCAUCAUCAUUGUAUUUAUUGAGAACCUACUAUGUGAAUAAACUAUGAGCCAAGUUUAUUCAUUCAUGCAUUUGCUCAGCACAUAUUUAUUAAGCAGCUCCUGAGAGCCAAGCUCUGAGAUAGAUGCCGGACCUUUGGAGGUGAAGAAGCAGAUACGGAUCCUGGACUCACAGAGAUGACAGUCUCCCCACCUAGAACUGGACACCUGAGUCAGGAUGGCAAAUAGGUUUCAACUCAAAUACCAGUCCAUCGGCAGAGGAUGCCUGCACCUCUGUGUUGGGAAGGAUUUAGUAUCGGUCAGAAUUCAGGUUAGACUAUGGUAACAAAGAGACCCCAAAAUAUAGUGGUUUAAAUGAGACUGAAAUUUAUUUUAUUGCCACUUUAAAAUCUUGAAGUAGAUCACCAGGGCAGCUAGGACUGCCCUUGUGUCCACUGCCCCUGGAGGUUUCAGAGGAUUCAAACUUCUAUCUUGAUGCUCCAAGAAAAUGAAGCACUAUUACCCUAUGUGUCCUCAAGCCAGUGGAAAGGGGAAGGGAAUAAACGUGGCCCAUUUGUUUCAAGAGCAUAGCAAGAAAGCUGUAGAUGUCUUUUCUCUUCACAUCCUUUUGUAAAACCUCAGUGCCAUGGUCACAUAUUCUUGUAAAAGAGGUUGGGAAGGGUAGUCACUGCCUGGGUUUGCCAUGUAUCCAGCUGAAGUGUGGGGGGUUCUUUAUUAAAGGAAGGGGGAGAGAACAGUUAUUAAAGGACCACAUUAGUCUCACCCACAGAUUCUGAGAGGAAUGAAGUGCUGUGAGACAUUAUGAAGCCCGUCAUAAAAACAAGGUCUGGAACAAAAGGCACUCAGGCCGUCUGUUUUCUCUCUCCACCAUGUAGCCCAUGGUGCUGAGGCUGUCUGACCCCAGGCUUCUAAUGACUCCUCUGGUACUUUACCGAAGUAUUUUCCAAGACAUACGAAAGAUAAGGUAGGACCACUUAUCAAAGCCUCAUAAGGUCAAAUUCUGAUAAGUGAAAAAAACAGGAACAGCCAACCAGAGUAAGGGAGAAGGGACCAGGAAGAGAAUGUAUCAGAGCAGGCACACCCUCCUCUCUUGGGUCUGUCUGUUCAUUCAUUCAGCUCCUCUGACUGACAUCAGACCUCAGGGAGGGGCUGGAGUAGGGAUGGGGGCACACAAGAGAAAGGCAACUGGAAUUUUUAAGAAUUACAUCUCCCAAAUGCUUUAUAUACAUUUACAUUCUUAUUUAAUGUGCACAGAAACUCUUAUUUUAUUACCUAAUUUAGAUAAGGAAAGCAGAAGUAAAAAUCUGACUCAAGAUCUGAAUAAUGCCAGCCACCUUGACCUAAUUGAUAUUUAUGGAAUAGGACAUUCAAAAACUGUAGAAAACACUGUGUUUUCAAAUGAACUGGUAUGUUCCUCAAGAUCAACCAGACUCUGACUUGUAAAACAAGGCUCAAUAAAUUUAAAAGGAUAAGCAUUGUGUAGAGUAUGCUCUCUGAUCGCUAUGAAAUCAAAUGAGAAAUAACAAAAUAUACACAAAACCAUAAAUAUUUGGAAAUUAAACAUUUUUCUAAAGAACCAUAAAUUAAAGAACUCACCAGAGAAAAGUGAAAAUAUGUCUAAAUCAAGGAUAAAUUCAGUUCCCAUUUUCAUGAUGAUUACUUCUACAUGCACUAUAUCAAAAUCUGUGGGAGACAGCUAAAGCAGUGCUUAGAGGGAAAUUUAUAGCUUUAAAUAUUUAAGUUAGAAAAUAAUAAAUAUUUAAAAUUAAUUAUUUAAGGUUCCACCUUAUAAAACUGGGAAACAAAGAGAAAAGCAAACUCGAAGAAAGUAGGUGGAAGGAAAGAAUAAAGGUGAGUGCAGGAAUCAGUAAAGUUGAAAAAAGACAAACAACAGAGAAUAUUAGUUAUCAGAUACACCUGUAGCUAGACUCAUCAAGAAUAAAAAAGACACAAAUUACCAUCACUACAGACCUUAAAGACAUUAAAAAGUUAAUAAGAUCAUUUAUUUCAAUAAACUUGCCAA